UAGUUCAUAUUGUUGUUCCGCCUAUAGGGUU
Molecule: non-coding RNA, 31 nt
Filed under: Mus musculus (house mouse)
Lineage: Eukaryota; Metazoa; Chordata; Mammalia; Rodentia; Muridae
Source: RNAcentral